RNAcentral lists this long non-coding RNA (375 nucleotides) under Selaginella moellendorffii. RNAcentral describes it as "long non-coding RNA (SMOE_LNC002069)". Lineage: Eukaryota; Viridiplantae; Streptophyta; Lycopodiopsida; Selaginellales; Selaginellaceae. The record is from RNAcentral.
CUUUGAACAGUGGCGAACCAUUACUGUGCAAUGCAGGUGUCAGUGCUGGAGAUGGAUGGACAGUUUGACAAACUGGACGAGCUCAUCUACGUGGAAAGCCACCUGAGCAACAUCUCGACCCGCUUCUACGGGGAGAUCACGCAGCAAAUGCUCAAGCACGCCGACUUCCCGGGCAGCAACAACGGCACGGGCUUGUUCCAGACCAUUGUGGGCCUCAAGAUCAGAGAUGUGUUUGAGCGCAUCACCUCCAAGCAAGGCUCCCCCGUUGGGGCGGCAGCAGCCACCUCCAAGGUCUAAUUAUUGCUGUAUCGUAUCACGUUAUCUUCUUACGAUAAAGAUGACAUAGAUAAAUAUAUAAUAGACCAGACCCUGUUU